AACGAACGCUGGCGGCGCGUUUUAAGCAUGCAAGUCGAACGGUAGAGUGCCUUCGGGUGCUUGAGAGUGGCGAACGGGUGAGUAACACGUAGAUGAUCUGCCUCGGGGUUGGGGAUAGCUCAUGGAAACAUGGGGUAAUACCGAAUACGUUCCUGACUGUAAAGGGUCAAGAAGAAAGGAGCUUAGGCUCCGUCCUGAGAUGAGUCUGCGCCUCAUUAGCUAGUUGGUGGGGUAAAGGCCUACCAAGGCAACGAUGAGUAGCCGGCCUGAGAGGGUGAUCGGCCACACUGGAACUGAGACACGGUCCAG
RNAcentral lists this ribosomal RNA (309 nucleotides) under uncultured bacterium. RNAcentral's name for it is "bacterial SSU rRNA". It matches the Rfam family "Bacterial small subunit ribosomal RNA", at positions 29 to 334 of the family's 1533-position model. The record is from RNAcentral.